RNAcentral lists this long non-coding RNA (483 nucleotides) under Bos indicus x Bos taurus (hybrid cattle). RNAcentral's name for it is "lncRNA (ENSBIXG00005027619.1)". The record is from RNAcentral. Lineage: Eukaryota; Metazoa; Chordata; Mammalia; Artiodactyla; Bovidae.
CUUCAUCGUUGUUAAUGGCUUGCCAUAUUUCCUCCAGAGAAACCUUUUCUACACCUGAGAUGGAACUUCCUCUUCAUUAUGGUUUAUAAGGGUUAAUAUUGUUCUGAGUGUUUGUAUUUGCUAGGGACUCUUAGAGAACAUUUUCUCAGAAUUAAAAUGUUGGGAGUUGAUACCUACUGAUGUAACCUGUUCUGCACAUUUUGGUGCAAGUCACUUUACAUCCAGAAAGCAAGCGGUGCAGGCUGUGUCAUUUGCUGUUUCGUAGGACCAGCUGAUUCUAAACCUGGAAACCCUGAGAGCCGAAGUGGACCAGACGAGACUGUGAGGGGCUCCCUUCCACCACAGCCGACCCCACUUGGGCAGCGCCCCGGACCUCAGGUUCCCUGUGGCGGACCGGCCGGCAGACUCCUUGGGCAACGGGGCGGUGCUGCGGUGCCCCCAGAAAGGCCGGCUGGCAGCGCUGCACGAUGAGCCAUCCAAGGC